AUUGAACGCUGGCGGCAGGCCUAACACAUGCCAGUCGAGCGGAUGAAGGGAGCUUGCUCCUGGAUUCAGCGGCGGACGGGUGAGUAAUGCCUAGGAAUCUGCCUGGUAGUGCGGGAUAACGUCCGGAAACGGGCGCUAAUACCGCAUACGUCCUGAGGGAGAAAGUGGGGGAUCUUCGGACCUCACGCUAUCAGAUGAGCCUAGGUCGGAUUAGCUAGUUGGUGGGGUAAAGGCCUACCAAGGCGACGAUCCGUAACUGGUCUGAGAGGAUGAUCAGUCACACUGGAACUGAGACACGGUCCAGACUCCUACGGGAGGCAGCAGUGGGGAAUAUUGGACAAUGGGCGAAAGCCUGAUCCAGCCAUGCCGCGUGUGUGAAGAAGGUCUUCGGAUUGUAAAGCACUUUAAGUUGGGAGGAAGGGCAGUAAGUUAAUACCUUGCUGUUUUGACGUUACCAACAGAAUAAGCACCGGCUAACUUCGUG
RNAcentral lists this ribosomal RNA (484 nucleotides) under uncultured bacterium. RNAcentral's name for it is "partial 16S ribosomal RNA". It matches the Rfam family "Bacterial small subunit ribosomal RNA", at positions 30 to 507 of the family's 1533-position model. The record is from RNAcentral.